AUACGGAGGGUGCAAGCGUUGUUCGGAAUCACUGGGCGUAAAGCGCGCGUAGGCGGUCUGUUAUGUCAGAUGUGAAAGUCCUCGGCUCAACCGGGGAAGUGCAUUUGAAACUGGCAGACUUGAGUACUGGAGGGGGUGGUGGAAUUCCCGGUGUAGAGGUGAAAUUCGUAGAUAUCGGGAGGAAUACCGGUGGCGAAGGCGACCACCUGGCCAGAUACUGACGCUGAGGUGCGAAAGCGUGGGGAGCAAACAGGAUUAGAAACCCCAGUAGUCC
Molecule: ribosomal RNA, 274 nt
Filed under: uncultured bacterium
Lineage: Bacteria
Description: partial 16S ribosomal RNA
Rfam family: Bacterial small subunit ribosomal RNA
Source: RNAcentral